CCACAAUGGUGGGCUAUCGCCUGGAGUUGUGAGCUGAAAUAAGUAAACUCUUUCCCUCUUAGGUUGCUUCUUGUCAGUUCUAAAACUUUUUAAAUUAGUUAAAUAAGAAAAAAAAAUAUUUUGUCACAGCAACAGAAGGAAGACGAGAGUGGACACUGGUGUCAUCUACCUUGGUCUCCUAAUUGGUGUCACAGGGAUCGUGCCCGACCCACAGGAUGCUUGUGAAGAGUGAUGACCAAAGGAUCACGUAUCGAUUGCUUUAAUGUGUUCUCUGUAAGAUGGCCACAGAAAGGGAGGAAGAAAAUGGAGGAUUGGCCGUCACCUCUAAGGGCUGGGGACUGUCCAUCAGGUGUGUAUCCUGGAGGAACAAUGAAACACAGGUUGGUGAGUUUUCACUUUGUCUCUGCCACUGUUAAGUCAUGACAUUGAGAGAUAAACUGGGCCCACUUAACCCCACUAUUUAACCUCAGAACUGAUUCCAGGAAAGCUACACGUGUGCUUGUCGCUGACCGAAGCCCAAAUCUCUUACUGAAGAUAAGCAC
RNAcentral lists this long non-coding RNA (542 nucleotides) under Mus spicilegus (steppe mouse). Its description in RNAcentral is "lncRNA (ENSMSIG00000031457.1)". Lineage: Eukaryota; Metazoa; Chordata; Mammalia; Rodentia; Muridae. The record is from RNAcentral.